UAUAAAAUAAAAUCAAAAUAUAAAAAAAUUUAAAUAUACAUUUAUUAAACGGUAAAUAAAUUGAGCGUCUUAAAAAUCGUUCAAUUCAUUAAAAAUAUAAAUGUCGUUCACGUUCACGUUCUAUUUGAAAAAAAAACGAGUGACGUUCGCGUAUCGUUCACUAACUAUGAACGCGAACGUGUGUGAACGUGCAUUCAUGAACGACGUUGUUUCCAAACACUGAAUUUAUGGGCGAACGAAACCCCAGGUUUAUUGACUGGGUAACAUUUGUCUGGCUAUUUUACACAUUGAAAAAACUUAUAAAAUUAAUUUGAAUACAAUUAUUAAUCAGUUCAAUGCAGACUAAACACAAAGAGGAAGUAUUUCAAUUGACAUUAACAUUUAAUUUUAGUUUUAAUAAUUGACUGGUUAUAUUUUUAAUUUUGUAAUACUUUUAUUAAUAUAAUCGUUAAACAUCAUGUUUUAAAGUUUCUAGGUGUACUGAAAUGAAAUAAACUUUACCGCUCUCUCCCCAUACAAAUUGUCCAAGUCACGCGUAUGCCCAUGAAAAUACAGAGUAUAAAGAGUCGACUAUUUGUUAAAUUUGUUGUACGAGUAUACAUAUAUAUGUAUAUAAAAAUAGGUAUAAUAAUAGUAUCAAACAUUUAAAAUCGAGUGAAACAUUAAAAAUGGAAGAGUAUUUAUAUAUUUAUGCAUUGUAAAUACAUGAUAUCAUAAUAUUAUUCAGUAUUUCAGUCGUCCAGAAGAUAAAAUGUCUGUCUACUUAAAUAAGAACGUUUCGU
Cinara cedri is the source of this 782-nucleotide non-coding RNA. NCBI's taxonomy places the organism in Eukaryota, Metazoa, Arthropoda, Insecta, Hemiptera, Aphididae. The record is from the annotation of a GenBank genome assembly.